AGACUGACCCAGCAGGGGAAAACCAUGAUCAUGAAGGUGACUUUCCAGGGUGAGACCCAUCUAUUGCACUCUGGGUGUGCUGACAUUUUUGAUUUCCCCAAAUGUGGGAGACUUGUUUGCAUAAUUUAUGGUAGUGGGGGACUGUGUGCACUUUCUUCCC
Small nuclear RNA from Zalophus californianus (California sea lion), 160 nucleotides. Its record names the gene U1. It matches the Rfam family "U1 spliceosomal RNA". From Rfam's summary of the family: U1 is a small nuclear RNA (snRNA) component of the spliceosome (involved in pre-mRNA splicing). Its 5' end forms complementary base pairs with the 5' splice junction, thus defining the 5' donor site of an intron. The record is from Ensembl. Lineage: Eukaryota; Metazoa; Chordata; Mammalia; Carnivora; Otariidae.